RNAcentral lists this transfer RNA (64 nucleotides) under Neurothemis fulvia. Its description in RNAcentral is "tRNA-His". Lineage: Eukaryota; Metazoa; Arthropoda; Insecta; Odonata; Libellulidae. The record is from RNAcentral.
ACCUAAAUAGUUUAAUAAAAAUAUUGAUUUGUGGUGUCAAUGAUGUAAAAUUUUACUUUAGGUC